UUUUGUAGAAUGAACCGGCGAGUUACGAUUUGUUGCAAGGUUAAGCGGAAAAAGCGGAGCCGUAGCGAAAGCGAGUCUGAAUAGGGCGCAUAAGUAACAGGUCGUAGACCCGAAACCAGGUGAUCUACCCAUGUCCAGGAUGAAGGUAAGGUAAUACUUACUGGAGGUCCGAACCCACGCACGUUGAAAAGUGCGGGGAUGAGGUGUGGGUAGCGGAGAAAUUCCAAUCGAACUUGGAGAUAGCUGGUUCUCUCCGAAAUAGCUUUAGGGCUAGCCUCGAGGUAAAGAGUCAUGGAGGUAGAGCACUGUUUGGACUAGGGGCCCUUCUCGGGUUACCGAAUUCAGAUAAACUCCGAAUGCCAUGUACUUAUACUCGGGAGUCAGACUGCGAGUGAUAAGAUCCGUAGUCGAAAGGGAAACAGCCCAGACCACCAGUUAAGGUCCCCAAAUAUAUGUUAAGUGGAAAAGGAUGUGGGGUUGCUUAGACAACCAGGAUGUUGGCUUAGAAGCAGCCACCAUUGAAAGAGUGCGUAAUAGCUCACUGGUCGAGUGACCCCGCGCCGAAAAUGUACCGGGGCUAAACAUAUUACCGAAACUGUGGAUGAACCUCUUUAGAGGUUCGUGGUAGGAGAGCGUUCUAAGGGCGGUGAAGUCAGACCGGAAGGACUGGUGGAGCGCUUAGAAGUGAGAAUGCCGGUAUGAGUAGCGAAAGAAGGGUGAGAAUCCCUUCCACCGAAUAUCUAAGGUUUCCUGAGGAAGGCUCGUCCGCUCAGGGUUAGUCGGGACCUAAGCCGAGGCCGAUAGGCGUAGGCGAUGGACAACAGGUAGAGAUUCCUGUACCAGUGCUAAUUGUUUAACCGAUGGGGUGACACAGAAGGAUAGGGAAUCGCACGAAUGGAAAUGUGCGUCCAAGCAGUGAGUGUGAGAAGUAGGCAAAUCCGCUUCUCGCGAAGCAUGAGCUGUGAUGGGGAAGGAAAUUAAGUACGGAAGUUCCUGAUUUCACGCUGUCAAGAAAAGCCUCUAGGAAGAGUAGUACUGCCCGUACCGCAAACCGACACAGGUAGAUGAGGAGAGAAUCCUAAGGUGAGCGAGAGAACUCUCGUUAAGGAACUCGGCAAAAUGACCCCGUAACUUCGGGAGAAGGGGUGCUCUAUUAGGGUGCAAGCCCGAGAGAGCCGCAGUGAAUAGGCCCAGGCGACUGUUUAGCAAAAACACAGGUCUCUGCAAAACCGUAAGGUGACGUAUAGGGGCUGACGCCUGCCCGGUGCUGGAAGGUUAAGAGGAGUGCUUAGCUUCGGCGAAGGUACGAAUUGAAGCCCCAGUAAACGGCGGCCGUAACUAUAACGGUCCUAAGGUAGCGAAAUUCCUUGUCGGGUAAGUUCCGACCCGCACGAAAGGCGCAACGAUCUGGGCACUGUCUCAACGAGAGACUCGGUGAAAUUAUAGUACCUGUGAAGAUGCAGGUUACCCGCGACAGGACGGAAAGACCCCGUGGAGCUUUACUGCAACCUGAUAUGGAAUGUUUGUACCGCUUGUACAGGAUAGGUAGGAGCCGAAGAGACGUGUGCGCUAGCAUACGAGGAGGCAAUGGUGGGAUACUACCCUGGCUGUAUGACCAUUCUAACCCGCCACGCUUAGCGCGUGGGGAGACAGUGUCAGGUGGGCAGUUUGACUGGGGCGGUCGCCUCCUAAAGAGUAACGGAGGCGCCCAAAGGUUCCCUCAGAAUGGAUGGAAAUCAUUCGCAGAGUGUAAAGGCACAAGGGAGCUUGACUGCGAGACUGACAAGUCGAGCAGGGACGAAAGUCGGGCUUAGUGAUCCGGUGGUUCCGCAUGGAAGGGCCAUCGCUCAACGGAUAAAAGCUACCCCGGGGAUAACAGGCUUAUCUCCCCCAAGAGUCCACAUCGACGGGGAGGUUUGGCACCUCGAUGUCGGCUCGUCGCAUCCUGGGGCUGUAGUCGGUCCCAAGGGUUGGGCUGUUCGCCCAUUAAAGCGGCACGCGAGCUGGGUUCAGAACGUCGUGAGACAGUUCGGUCCCUAUCCGUCGCGGGCGCAGGAAAUUUGAGAGGAGCUGUCCUUAGUACGAGAGGACCGGGAUGGACACACCGCUGGUGUACCAGUUGUUCCGCCAGGAGCAUCGCUGGGUAGCUAUGUGUGGCAGGGAUAAACGCUGAAAGCAUCUAAGCGUGAAGCCCCCCUCAAGAUGAGAUUUCCCAUUUCUUCGGAAAGUAAGAUCCCUGAAAGAUGAUCAGGUAGAUAGGUUUGGAG
Molecule: ribosomal RNA, 2267 nt
Filed under: Listeria monocytogenes
Lineage: Bacteria; Bacillati; Bacillota; Bacilli; Caryophanales; Listeriaceae
Description: partial 23S ribosomal RNA
Rfam family: Bacterial large subunit ribosomal RNA
Source: RNAcentral